This 253-nucleotide ribosomal RNA is filed under the name uncultured bacterium. Its description in RNAcentral is "partial 16S ribosomal RNA". It matches the Rfam family "Bacterial small subunit ribosomal RNA", at positions 524 to 776 of the family's 1533-position model. The record is from RNAcentral.
UACGUAGGGGGCAAGCGUUGUCCGGAAUCAUUGGGCGUAAAGCGCGCGUAGGCGGCCCUGUAAGUCCGCUGUAAAAGUCAAAGGCUCAACCUUUGAAAGCCGGUGGAUACUGCAGGGCUAGAGUCCGGAAGAGGCGAGUGGAAUUCCUGGUGUAGCGGUGGAAUGCGCAGAUAUCAGGAGGAACACCAAUAGCGAAGGCAGCUCGCUGGGACGGCACUGACGCUGAGACGCGAAAGCGUGGGGAGCGAACAGG